RNAcentral lists this ribosomal RNA (393 nucleotides) under uncultured bacterium. RNAcentral describes it as "partial 16S ribosomal RNA". It matches the Rfam family "Bacterial small subunit ribosomal RNA", at positions 523 to 918 of the family's 1533-position model. The record is from RNAcentral.
AUACGGAGGAUCCGAGCGUUAUCCGGAUUUAUUGGGUUUAAAGGGUGCGCAGGCGGGAGAUUAAGUCGGCGGUGAAAUUUUGCAGCUCAACUGUAAAAAUGCCUUUGAUACUGGUUUUCUUGUGUGUGGAUGAAGUAGGCGGAAUUUGUGGGGUAGCGGAGGAAUGCUUAGAUAUCAAGAGGAACUCCGAUUGCGCAGGCAGCAUACUAAACCACUACUGACGCUCAGGCACGAAGGCGUGGGGAUCAAACAGUAUUAGAUACCCUGGUAGUCCACGCAGUAAACGAUGAUUACUGGCUGUUUGCGAUACAAUGUAAGCGGCUGAGCGAAAGCGUUAAGUAAUCCACCUGGGGAGUACGUUCGCAAGAAUGAAACUCAAAUGAAUUGACGGGG